AGUCCCUGCUCCAGGCUAUCCACUGUGAACUGCUGGCAGCUGCAGAAGAUCCUGAGUUCAAGCCUAGGGGCAGGAAAUUGUCAGAAACCCGUGUACCUUCCAAGGUUCAGCAGAUUGGAGAGAAAAGUGUGCGAGUGCUCGGCAAGAACAAUACACCGAUUAACAGGGCAAUUUCAGGACCGUGUUGGGGGCUGGGUGGAGGAGGAGAGAGAACCAGAUGUUCCUGCACAGGCUCCAAAGAACUGCGGGUUCGCCUGGGCCAACACACAUGUUUUCUCUCCAGUGAGUAUGAUGGGUUUCCAGUUUUCUCCUCCUGGAAGCGGCAUCUCAAGCCCGUAUUUAUGUUCCGUCUGAAAUUAAUGCAAGGGAAACUUUUAAAUGCGAAUCUCACUGGCAGGGCAGCCUACCGGAUAUCAAGCGAUGGUGGGGUUUGUUUUCCCAAGGAAAUGUGACAAGCGGGUUGGACGGUGGGCCAGCGGAGGACUGGACGAUUGGAGGCACCCAGGGCUCUGUUCUCCCAAGGAGUGAGUGUGUGAGGGGGAAGUAGCAAACCGGAGCCUCUGUCCUGUUCUCCCGCCGGCCUAGGGAAGAGUUGCAGCUUGUGAGCUCAGGAGGGCUGAGAUGACACCGCCUCUGUACCCAGCCACUGCCAGGAGCUGUGCAUCCCCCGAGGAGAUGACCGCGUGGAGGGGCACACCCGUGGAGGGGCAGACCCGCAAGCAGACCAUACGGGACAACGAAGUGCAGUGACGGAGAGGGGCCAGAACCAUGGGGCUGAAGAAAAUGCGGUGGAACCCAAGGGAGGAGAAGAGGCAACAGGAAACAGCCCAAGCCCAGAGCAGAGAGGCAGUGUGUUACUUGUAGAUCAGAAGAAAGCCAAGGACACCUCCCCACCCUCCAAUGGCUGAACUGGAAGGUCCUGUGGGGGAGGGGCUCAGGCUCAGCUUAUCCCAGCGCCUAGCCCAGUUGGGAAUGGGCCUCUCUCCCUGCAGGCCAGCACACCCUAUCCGUGGAGCCAACCUGUCCGUCCCAGAACACCUGGGCUAGCACACUGGCCACCGCCAACUUCUGGAGAAGGGGCUUCAUCUGAGCCCCAAGUGCCACUCUGGCCUGCCCUGAGUCUCACACUUUCCUCUCAACUGUCUCUGAACCUGCUGAGUCACCUGUGGGCACCGUCACAAGGCCACACUGCCCAUCACAGACACUAAGAAGAAUGCUUCUCUGUGAAAAGUGUCAGCUAAACAGACACCCCUUUGCACACAGCUCCAGCGUUUCCAGAUGUAGACAGCAAGGAUGCCAGGACUGGGAUCCGAGAGGCCAGGGUUCAAAUAAAAGUUCCGCCUGCAUUAUUCCCUCUCUACUCUGCACCUCAGCUUUCAUGUGGGAAAUGCGGAUACUGUAAUAAAACCACUCAGUGGUGUUGCUUGAGAGUCUGGAACAGUACUGAGGAAGGGUUUUAUUCUAAGAAUCACUGCGUCAUGAGGGGCAUUUUAACCCCAUGAUCGAAAAUGAGUGAGUCUAGCACAAUCCAGUGAGGCAGGUGCAUUAGCCCCAUUUUAUGGAUGACAGACUGAGGCCUUAAAGUGAAUAGCUUUCCUAGGUCCCCUGGCUGACAGCAGGAGUCUUGCUUUGCAUCCAGGCCUCUUACUCGAAGGCUCUUCCCCUCCUUCCUGAAGCCCUAGAGAAUAGCACUGGGAGGCCGGGCUGUACUCAGGACUGCAGCUUCCAGUCCGUUUUAUGAGGCUCUUGGGGAUUCUGGAGCUGGGGUGGGUUGGGGAGAGUCUGAAUAAGCCCUGGAAGAGCCAGGCAGCCGGGAGGCUCAGGGUUUCUCUUUGGCUUGCUGGGUGCCUGGGGGAAAUAUGAACUACAGUGCCUUCAGGGCUUCAGCUCAGCCCCAAAGCUGGGAUUGUGGAGAGAAGGCAGAACUGUGUAGGGUCUGCUCGGACACCUGCUGAGGUGCUGAGGUAGGGAUGUGGGUGUUGGGAGACUUGCGAGAUUGUUUCUGUUUCCUAAAACAUUCCCCGGAGAUACCCACGGAGUCUGAUUUGAGCACAGAGAGAGAGAGCAGACACACGCCUAGGGGCAGCUAGUGUCUUCCUAGUAGCGUAGACCCGCCCUCUCUUCCACAGCCUUGGGAGCGCUCUGCUGUCAGUCGAGCCAGCAGGAGAGGGGCCGCAGGAGGCCAGCUGAGCCCUCAGGGACUCUGCUCAGUAGUCCGGAAAGGCCCUGAGAUGGACUUGGAGAGGCACCAGACAGGAGGGCAAGGAAAGGAUAGGCUGACUGCAAGUGGUAGUACAUGGAGGGUGUGUGUGGCCUGGCCCUGCACCUAAAUCCUGCAGCCUGUCUUGGGGUGGGGGCUAGGGAGUGACAUGCCCUUUACUGUAUAACCAGGCAGGGUGGGCUCCUCUCACCCAGAUUUCGUGUGGACGUGUAUGUGCCAGGACCAGUGUACUGACUCUAACGGGCCUGCUCUGCUGGCUUGGUGCCCUGUUCAUGGUAACACAUGGUCCAGAGCCUGUGGGUUGGUCCUGGUUCUGUCUCCAGCUCAGCGAGCUUUGCUAUGCUCCUGCCCAGUGGGCCUCAGUUUGCCCAAAGCUAUAAGGAAGUGGGCAGGCUGGGAAGUCCCUGGGUUGGGAGAUUUGCUGCACAGAGUAGGCCAUUUGUUCCAGGUGUGGUUGAGCUAUGAAAUGCAGCAGCCACCAGCAGGCAGGAUCUGCAACGGGUCCAGAGCUGUCGCUUGUGGAUGGUGGGGUCCCUGAGGGCCAAGCUGGGCUUGCUCUGCCCUGACCUUACUGUUGCUCUAGCCUAAUAAGUGCACCAGGCCAGAGGAGGCCAGGACGGAGGCUGUGCUCAGCGUUCAUUCAUCUGUUCAUUCUCUCACUCCUUUACGCUUAUUCACUCACCAGGUCAAAACCUAGGGCACAGUUCUAAAGGCGGUGAUGAUUAAGCGGUGGCUGUCCUCCCACCACCCAAGGGGAGACAGCACCAUUUGCCAGCCCGUGUGGGAAGCAGUCUGGAGGCUGGAGCUGGUAGAGGCUUGGACCAGGACAGCAGCAGGGGGCAGAGACAGAGUGAAGGAUGCGUGGUCUUUCUGGUGGUCUAUCAGCAGGACCAAUCAGCGACUGACUGAAUUUUAGAGACAGAAGAGACUGGAGUUGGCCCUGGUGCUUUCAGGCUGGCCUGGUGCUUGAGCGGGCAUUUGUGCACAUGGACGUGGCAUUUCAGGAAAAAGAGGCCUGUGUUCAGGGCUGCCCACACUGCUGUGAUUUUCACUCUUACAGCCUCAGCUUCCUCGACUGUAGAAGGGAGCUGAUUCUAGGGACCUCUGGCCCAGGUGACUGUCCUGGGCCCUGGGGCAGGCAGGGUGGGGGCGGCAACUGCUUCUCUCCGUGGCUGUACUAACUGGGGGGCACCUCCCAGGCCUAGAAGGCUGACUCAGGUUGGCUCCCCUGGGAGGUCGGCUGAGGCUGUUCUACUGCAGAGUGAACUGGAGGAGGAGGGAGGGUUGGUGUUUGGGGGUCCUUCCUUGAACAGCUUUCCUGCCUCAUGCCAGGCCUCUGGCAGCUGUCCCACAGCAGGCGAGUGGCCCUACUCUCUCCAUGUUGUCAGUCAAGGUCCUGCUCCUGCCGGCUCUUCCAGACCCCCGCUUCUCUGACACCUGCAUGUGAACAGCUCCUGGAAUCCUAGAAGACCCAAGCAAGUCCUAGCUCUUCCUGCUCCCAUGAGCAAACUGAAGCUGUGAAAGAAGAAGGGACUUGGCAGGGGCCACAGUGGGCCACGGAGAGCUCCAGUGUGAGCCUAGAACUGUUUUUCUUUCUGUCCCUCUGAGGUGACCUUGACCAGGCUGUACCCAUGGGCUUGUAUCAUGUUGGAGCCCCUCCAUGUGCCUCUACUGCAAGACAGGAGCAUCUCAGCCUUGCAGCCUGGAUGGCAGGUCCAGGUGCACCAGCACCAUCUCCUCGAAAACACGCACGGGGCCGCCGAAGAAACCACGGCAGUGAGAACGCAUCCUCUCUUUCCUCACAGCCUAUCAGCGUCAUUACGACUUUCAGCAAAGGCCGAACCCAUGGGACCGAAGAGGCUGAGACAUCUGCUGUGCGCUGGCCAAGGAUCAGUGGGUUUCUGAUAAGAAGUGCACCUUGGGCUUCUGUUAGAAAAGUGGGGCUCACUGUCUGGAUGAACGAGACAAUAAUUUGACUGGUGUCUCCUGAGCUUGUGUAGUGUACACCUUGCAGAGCUGUAUGUAGUGGCACCGCUAGUUCCCGAUGGACCAAGAGAGAGCUGGUGCCCGGGGACUUUUUGUUCGGUAGAUAGAUAAAUGAAAGCAAUGGUGCCAUUACCACCCUUGUCACUUCCCUACUAAGGAAGAGGUGACAGGCAACCCUGACAAAACAGGUCACACUUGACUUGAUCCAGCUAUAGAAAUCACCAAAGCUGCUGCGUUGGGGAGGAAACAGAGAGGCCGUGACUCUGACAGUUAUUAGUAGAAACAUGCCUCUUGAAGGUCUCUCUCCAUUCCUUGGUAUGGGUGACAAUUUGAGGCUGUGUUAUACCGCAAAGAAGUAUCUGUUCAGUGAAUGAGUGGCUGAGUGAAUGCCCUGAGAGGCAGUAGAAGCGGAGGGAUUCCGCAGGUCCCACAAGUUCGACGGUAGGGAUGACUUAGGUUGAAAUCCCUCUUUUGCUGCUUACUAGCUGGGUGGCCUUACUAGAAAGUAAUUUGGCUUUUCUGAGACUCAGUUUUCAAAUUGGUAAUAUAAGGUAAUUGGUAAUAUAUUGUAGGGGUAAAGGAGUUUUUUUUUUUCCUAAUCGCCCAAGUUGGGCUCAAAUU
Long non-coding RNA from Chinchilla lanigera (long-tailed chinchilla), 4828 nucleotides. RefSeq lists it as uncharacterized. The record is from RefSeq and is a predicted model, not a curated record. NCBI's taxonomy places the organism in Eukaryota, Metazoa, Chordata, Mammalia, Rodentia, Chinchillidae. The transcript has 3 exons.